CCUACGGGGGGCUGCAGUGGGGAAUAUUGGACAAUGGGGGCAACCCUGAUCCAGCCAUGCCGCGUGUGUGAAGAAGGCCCUCGGGUUGUAAAGCACUUUCAGUGAGGAAGAACGCCUGGUGGUUAAUACCCAUCAGGAAAGACAUCACUCACAGAAGAAGCACCGGCUAACUCCGUGCCAGCAGCCGCGGUAAUACGGAGGGUGCGAGCGUUAAUCGGAAUUACUGGGCGUAAAGCGCGCGUAGGUGGCUUGAUAAGCCGGUUGUGAAAGCCCCGGGCUCAAACUGGGAACGGCAUCCGGAACUGUCAAGCUAGAGGGCAGGAGAGGAAGGUAGAAUUCCCGGUGGAGCGGUGAAAUGCGUAGAGAUCGGGAGGAAUACCAGUGGCGAAGGCGGCCUUCUGGACUGACACUGACACUGAGGUGCGAAAGCGUGGGUAGCAAACAGGAUUAGAUACCCUAGUAGUC
Molecule: ribosomal RNA, 465 nt
Filed under: Vreelandella stevensii
Lineage: Bacteria; Pseudomonadati; Pseudomonadota; Gammaproteobacteria; Oceanospirillales; Halomonadaceae
Description: partial 16S ribosomal RNA
Rfam family: Bacterial small subunit ribosomal RNA
Source: RNAcentral